AUCCUACGGGAGGCAGCAGUAGGGAAUCUUCCACAAUGGACGAAAGUCUGAUGGAGCAACGCCGCGUGAGUGAAGAAGGGUUUCGGCUCGUAAAACUCUGUUGUUAAAGAAGAACAUAUCUGAGAGUAACUGUUCAGGUAUUGACGGUAUUUAACCAGAAAGCCACGGCUAACUACGUGCCAGCAGCCGCGGUAAUAAU
This 199-nucleotide ribosomal RNA is filed under the name uncultured Lactobacillus sp. RNAcentral's name for it is "partial 16S ribosomal RNA". It matches the Rfam family "Bacterial small subunit ribosomal RNA", at positions 335 to 526 of the family's 1533-position model. Lineage: Bacteria; Bacillati; Bacillota; Bacilli; Lactobacillales; Lactobacillaceae. The record is from RNAcentral.